GACAAGAUUUUGACUCCUUCUGGAAUCCAGAAAUAGGAAUACCAAGAAUACUGAGCCCAUCUUCUAAUGCAGAUUCAUGGCAAAAAUGGAUCAAACAGCCUAGGAUUUUCAAGGAAUUAAGAAAUGGUAACACUUGAAAACCAUGUUGAAGGUGAGGAAAUCUUGGCAGGCUCAACAACAUCAUUUUCCUUUGAGAAACAACACCAGUGUUUGGAAAUCCCAGAAGAUGUCUCAAGAUUAUAACACCCUUGAGAAAAUGAGCUCAUUUUUCGUCAUAUCAAAAAUAAAUCAGAUACGUGCAUGUACUUUAUUGUUCUAAAUGAAGAAUUUUGUGCACUCAGAAAAUAAAAGUAAGUAUGUGAAAAAUACUCUGUGCAUAGCAUAUACUUGACAAAUGUUAGCUGUGACGAUUAACCCCUAUAUAACAUUAGAGGAAA
Molecule: long non-coding RNA, 437 nt
Filed under: Zalophus californianus (California sea lion)
Lineage: Eukaryota; Metazoa; Chordata; Mammalia; Carnivora; Otariidae
Description: lncRNA (ENSZCAG00015012446.1)
Source: RNAcentral